Molecule: ribosomal RNA, 65 nt
Filed under: Amanita cf. infusca Kew 29011
Lineage: Eukaryota; Fungi; Basidiomycota; Agaricomycetes; Agaricales; Amanitaceae
Description: partial 18S ribosomal RNA
Source: RNAcentral
GAGGCUGUUGCUGGCGCCUCCCGUGGGUGCAUAUAAUACUGUGCACGUCUCUUAUGUCUAUUUCU